RNAcentral lists this long non-coding RNA (5773 nucleotides) under Homo sapiens (human). Its description in RNAcentral is "HSALNT0036956". The record is from RNAcentral. Lineage: Eukaryota; Metazoa; Chordata; Mammalia; Primates; Hominidae.
GAGAGAGAGAGAGAAGAAAGACAGUGUUUAUAAAGCCUGCCUUCCUGGUCUACCCCACUGGGGCUGGAUAGUUCGAUUUCCACAGCUCCAAGGUACAAGGUGCAAGAGUUAAGGUGGUUGAUUGGUCCCCAGCCUCAGCGACAAGAAGUGAGCAGAGGGGAUGCUCUGUGAUGUUGCUUGUUCAACCUGAUUCCCUCCACCCUCCCAGAGGCAGGGGAACCCCCGUCCCCCGCCAACCCACAGUGAUAACAUCUCUCAGGCUUCCUCCUUUGUUGGGUACAGAGGAGGUAGCCACACACAAAAAAAGGGGUGGUGGGUAGGUAGGGAAGGGGGAACUAUAAAUAAUCCAAAGAGGUGGCUAGAAAGGCAGAGAGGACAUGAUGCGAGAGAGAAAGUUUAUGCUUUCAUAUAAAAGGCAUGAGCCACUUGACUUAGGGUAAUCUGAAGGAUCUUUCGUUUGUUUGAUUGAUUUUCCUUUUUGAUUAUUCUCUGAAAUCUGAAGUCUAGGGUUGCCUAAAAGAUGGUGAGUUCUUCUUAUCUCCAAUUUUUCCUGAGGUAGGAAGAACACCAUGGAAUAAGGAGAAAGGAGAUACAAGUAGCCUCUCCAGGAAGAAUGUGACUGAAUACUUUUUAUACAAAACCACAAAAUUAGAUAAAUAUGUAUUUAAGUGUUAUUCCUGAAAGCUGGAGAAAGAAAUCUUACUUCUAAGAAUUGUUUAGCGAAGGAAUAAGAAAAUGUGAUGCUUGGAAGAAAAAACACACUGCCGAGAGGCCUUGCGCUGAGUGUGCUGAACAAUAGACAACCUCUAAGGAUGCUCGCCUGCAAUUCCGGCUCUGCCAUCAAUUCACUGUAUGCCUUUGGAUCAUCUACAAGACAUGAAUGAUGUUCAGAAUUACUUGUCAUGCCCUUUGCUUGGGGCUGAAAACAAGAUGCAGUCACACAGAUUUCAAUGGAGUGUGUACUCUAGAGGCAGACUGCCUGGGAUCAAAAUGCUUGCAGUAUAACCAUUGACAGCUUCCAUAACUUAUCUCUUCCCAGGUUAAUCAACCUGUAAAAUGGGGUAAUAUCUGCUCCUCCCUCAUAGGGUUGUGCAUAAAAAUCUCAUGAGAUUAUAGGUGUAGAGAGGUGAGAACCCACAGAAACCUUUCCAUAAAUGCUACCUAUUAUUAUUAAAUUCUAGCUUUCUUUCAGUUUUCAAAUUUAAAGUAAAGACUAAAAUCAGCUGAGAUAUACUGCAAUCUCCAGCUAAUGUUUGGAGAAGCAUUAGUAGUAUUCCCUUCAUCUUUCCUCAUCCCCUCCUUUUAAAGAACUCUAACUGGGAACAUGCAUUUAUUUCCCUCAUAUCUGUACAAGCCAUUGAUUUGCCAGGAGAGAAAUACAAAGACUUUCACAUUUUUGCUGCUCUCUCUCCUGAAUUAAUACUCCACUUCUGAAUUUAAGGCAGCAAAACUCCAUUCAGUGUUUUAAGAGUGGGUAAAAUAUAUAGAAAUGAGAAUAGCUUUGACAAGUUAACAUCCAUGUGAAUGAGACUAGAGAAAUAACAUUCUGUAUAUGAGUGCUUUUCUUCUAAAUCAUCUUACCAACUUUCAAGUGAUUAGACAAUUUUGUUUCAUUCCCUUCAAACUUACAAAUUAAUAUUUUUAAGAGAUGGAGUUAAUAACCAGUUAAAAACUAUAAAGGCUUCCUCAAUUGAAGGUCGGAGCUUUGCUAUCUAAAACUGACUUAGAGUUACAAUAAAAAUAGCAAUAUCAUGAAAUGCUAUAUUUGUAUUUCUCAGUUCAAUUGCUUUUUAUUUUCAAACAGUAUGCAACUAAGACAUGCCUGAGUGAAGUUUCCUAGGAGCCAGAUAAUUAAUCCAACAUUUAUCUGAAAUGCUGAACUAACUUGCAUAAUUCUUCAAAUGAAUAUCACACCUUCGAUGGGGACAUACAAAUUGUUUCAACCUGAGGCUUGAAAAUAUGUGUCAUAAAGCAUUCUGAUUUAUCAAGAACACGUUGUAAUUUGUUGCAUUUGGAAUGUAGCUACCUAACUUCCUGAAUAUUUUAAUAAAAUACCUGUAAAAUUACACAAUCAAAACUAUACCUCCACCAAGCAAAGUGACAGAGAUGGUACUAACAUCAACAAAAAGGUAAGAGAAUGGUAAAUUUCAAAAGGUUCUAGCUGUUUCCGUACUCUCUGUACUCUUACCGUGAAAUCAAGCGCUGAAAAAGAUUCUAGGCUUAAAAUUCAAUUAAAGCAAACACUUUUGACAAUUAUUUUACUAUUUGAUGUAAAAAAAUAGAUUUUUUUGUCUAGUGCUUUAGUUCUUUGCCUCUUUUUAAUUUUUUCUUAUGUAUGGUUUUAUUUUAAAGUUCCACUGAGGCAAUAUACAUAUGCCAGGCAGAAAAUGCAGAUAUUAAGGGAUUUUAUUCAUAACAGGCUAAAUUUGUCUCUUGUGAAAGAUAAAAACACUUUAAAGUUGAUGAGUCUAUGAUUUUAAGUAAAAUCCUCAUUCAAAUGUGAUUGCUUUAUAGGUUUAACUCUGGUCAGAGCAAUUUGUGUUCUUUCUAUAUAUUACUCCAACUAUAAUAAAGCUGUUUAUGCAAAUGUGAAAUUGUUGCUAUUGCAGAAUCUUUCCAACCAUGUAAGGUUGUAAUGUUAAAUUCCCAUUCACGAUCAAAAUUCCACAUAUUUACAACCUGCAAACAUCCCAAAUUCACACUUCAACAUCUGUGUGGCUGCCAACUUCUACUGAAAUCUGUAGCAUGCUUUUUUAGAAGUGGAGGAAAAAAGAAUAAAAAACCUGAGACUAAGAUAAGAAUCAAGAAGGAUUCAUGUGCCAAAAGCACACAUUCAAGCCUGGGAGAGGAAAUCAGAGUCCUAAGCCCCAACUUGGAAUGACUUACUAGAUGAUUGUAGUGACAGAGCCAUCUCCACACCGGGCUCUCAUCUGAGUCAGUGAUAUACUCUGUGCUAACAGAGACGAUUAUCCCAAGCAGCCAGUGAAUCAAAGCACAGUCUAAACCAAAAUCAAAGACUGUGUCUGGCAAAGCAUCACAACUUCCAGAGGAUUUGCUGAACAAAGCUACCAAAAACUUUAAAAACUGCAGUCUUAAUCUAGUCACCCCUUACACCUAAAUGAUGACAGUGUGAUAUGAAAACACCAGUUAUUAUGCUUUACAAGUCAGCAUGCUCAUCAGCAAAGGAUCUAAGUUAAAAUUAAUCCCUGUCGAUAUAGAAGACAAUAUCAAACUGGAGCCUUUUUUUAAGAAAAAAAAAAAGAAAUAUGUAGACUGAACAAACUCAAACUUCUAACCAAAAACAAAGUGAUAAACCAGUUAAUCAAGCUAUGAGGAGAACCAGUUAAAUCUGAUAUGAAACCACCAUUUUACUAGAGCAAACUGUUACUAAGCUCUGUUUACAUCAGCUCUGCCUUUUUCUCUUUCUCGGUAGUUCAGCUAUGGAUUGUCUUGUGGACUCUCACCAUCCGGAAUGAUUUGCUUUCUAUUCCAGUCUAUUCUCAGCUGUCUGGCCCUGCACAAGUGCUCGCAGAACUCACUAAUACCGACCACCUCCCUACCCCCCUCACCCCAUCUGCUUUUUACUCUGAGCAUGCAGGGCUCUAAUCAGUUCUCCAUAGCGCAGAGACUACUUCUUGUUUUUACAGACAAACAUGUUAAUUGCCAUCACACUCACAGGCAGAAUGAAGGACUGUCUUUUUACCCUCCUCAGUCCACCCGCCUGGAUGCAACACAAACUACAAUCUCCAUCUCACCCAAGGACAAGCCCCCUCUUCUCUAAACAGCACACAUUCUUUCAAACAAAAAAUCCCCACAGCUUAAACAUGCACAUACACAAUUAACAUACAUACAUAGGAAGCGCAUCAUUGCAAUGAUGGAUAUAACUUAUUACAUUGACCUUACUAGCUAAAGAGUAAGUGGUAAAAGGGAUUCAAAAAUAUGAGUUAGAGCAUCAGGGUAAGUCCAGCACUUCAGAUGGGGGUCAGCAUUCCUGAACUCUGUUUUCUCAUCUGAUCCUAUAACCAACCUUUUUCUCUGCCACUGACUGUUGGGAAGCAGUGCAUUUUAAACAAAAAAGGCCUCCCUUUGAUACCUCUUUAAAUGUCAAGAGUAAGCCCUUAUAAGAACCCAGUAGUCGGUACCCAGAGUUGGUGCCCAAACAUGAAAGAGAUUAGAAGAAGGUCUUGGUGUGGAAAAAGCCGUGGACCCCUUUCACUUCCAGGUGACACACUGUCAUCACCCACAUUACAGGAAAGGUGAGGCUGCUAAACGAUUACUGGGUGGCGGAGGACUCCAGAUUAGCUUAAAUAAAUGGCAUUAUUUUUAUAAAUAUUUUCAAGGAAGUAUAAUAUUUGUCUAUAAAAAGAUGGUUGAGAGCUGCAUUUCACCUUUCAUGUUUGUAUCUUGAAGUUUCAAGUUCAUUUCCGUACUCUGGGGUAGCUGCCCAAGGGAAAUCUGCUCUUCAGGUUUACUCUCCUAACAUCGCCCACAAAUCACUCAUGCAACCAAAACCUGCCAAUGAAAAGCGCGUAAGGUCUCCUUCAUCUAAGAAACCAGCAGUUUCCAAAACAAGCUCUUGUACAUUAUCCACCAGUGGCCAAGGUCUGGUGAAACACAAACUCUCUCCCAUAUUGAAGCAGAGAAUAUAAAUGAGGGCAAACUUUCUGGAGAGCAGAUUGACCACAUAGAUCAAGAUUCUUACAAAUGUUCUUAUCCUUUGACCUAAUAAUUACAGUUCUUGGAAUUUAUCCCAAGGAAAUUAUCAGAGAAGCAAACAAAGAAUUAUGUACAAGGAUGUUCAUUGCAAUGCUAUUUAUAAUAGCAAAAAAUUGCCACUGCCUAAUUAAGCAACAAUAGGAAUUUAGUUAAGUAAAUUAUAGUAAAUCCAUAGAACAGAAUGCUAUUCAGGCAUUAAAAACCAUGUGUUCAAAGAAUGCAAAAUGGCUCAGGGAAAUGCUGACAAGAUAAUGUUAAGUUAAAAAAGUAGGCUACAGUAUGUUAAAUGCAACGUGACCCCAGUUUUAUAAAUAUUACAUAUGCAUAUGACAUGUAAUAUGUGUAUAUAAAAUUUGGAAGAAAGAAAAACUACAUUGAAGUUUACUAAGUGCCAAGGAAUGCAAUAAAACCUUUACAUAAUUAUUUUAUUCACUCAUCAAAAUAAUUCACAGAAUGAACUAUUUUGAUCUCUAUUUUGACAGUGAGAAAACGAGAGCAAAGAGAGAUUAAGUUGUCAAAGAUCACUCAGGUAAUACAUUGGGUAGCUAGUGUUUGAUCCUAGAUGAUCUAUGUCCUACAUAACACUAUCCAUUGUGUUGUUCUAUGGGUUAUUUUCUCCCUUGCGUUAUUUGUGUAUUUUUCCAAUUUUUUUCAAUAAACAUAUUACUUUUAUAACCAGUUUUUAAAAGGUUCUUAAUAGUGUGCAAAGUGAGAGUGAUUAGCAUAAGUACUGAAAUUAAAUUCAUAUUCUUACUGAAAUGAACAGGGUAUUUUUGAUUUGUUAAAAGCAGAAUACAGUUUUGUUUUUUUUUAACUCUAUUCAUUAAUUAUUUAGAUUCUGAAAAUGUACCACUUGCUUUGCCUUUUAUAAGUUUUGGCACUUUUAUGCUUAAUAUGGCAUUUUGUGAAGCAGAAGGGGAGAACUGAAGUGGGGAUUUCUUAAAAGAUAAGUAAAAAUACAGACAGGGAUUUUCUAGGUGUCUUCAAUCUUCCUAAUAGAAGGUAAGGUAAACUUCUAGGAGUGAGUCGAGCAGGGGUGGAAAUUAAAAUUACGGAG